CAUUAAGAAGCUAGUUAGCAUUAACCUUUUAAGUUAAAGAACGGGAAACCAAAUUCCCCUUAAUGA
Molecule: transfer RNA, 66 nt
Filed under: Macrotus californicus (California big-eared bat)
Lineage: Eukaryota; Metazoa; Chordata; Mammalia; Chiroptera; Phyllostomidae
Description: tRNA-Lys
Source: RNAcentral